Molecule: long non-coding RNA, 2757 nt
Organism: Canis lupus familiaris (dog)
Lineage: Eukaryota; Metazoa; Chordata; Mammalia; Carnivora; Canidae
Exons: 3
Source: RefSeq, a predicted model, not a curated record
GGCGCCAAACCGCUGCGCCACCCAGGGAUCCCCAGAAACUAUUUCUUAUGUAACCUUUCUAUUGAGAAAAGUUUUUCAAAAAGGGUCGAAUCUUCAUAAAUGCAUGUAAAAUGUGUUUGCAAAAUUACCUCACUAUUACAAUUUAGUGAGCUUUUUAAUGUGUUCAUACUUAUUUAUAAGAAUAAAAUGAAAGCAUUCCAGCAUUGAAAAUCACCAUUAAAUACAACCUUUAGCCCUAACAAAGACAUGUAUAAAAAGAUGUUCAAAUGCAGAUUUGAAUUAACAUGUUCUCACCCCCAACAAUUUAGAUUCCAUAGCCUCAAUGUCAAUAGCACUAUUUUAGGAAUAUAUACAGUUCUGCUUUUAUGUCAAAAAGUCGCUCUGCAUCUUAACCCUGCAAUGAACUUCUUUGCCCCUAAGCAGUACUAUUUCAAGAAAAAUGAUAGGAAAAUGGUUGCCCACAGAGGAAUGGAGACGGUGACCCUGUCAUUUGCUUAGUAAGAUGUGAGUUGCUGAACAUUGUCUAACAGGUGCCUGGAGUCUCUUGUGCGAUUCUCAGAACAGCUACAUUUGCACAAAUUUUUGACUACAUGAAGUAGACAGUGGAGAAAAUUACAGUGGUAAGUCAAGAAACAAAAAUUAUUCCCUGUCUGUUACCUGAUUAUUUUAGGUGAAAGUGUUUCAGGGCUAGAUUACUUGGAAGAACAUUUUUAAAUCUCCCCUUUGUUUUGUAAAUUUAGUUACCGUAAGAUCCCAGGCUCCUUAUCAUAUCUUUCUACAAAAAAAGAUACUUCUCAGUAAAGCACUUUGAAUAUUGGUAUAUAAGUUGUUCUCUAAGUCAGCUACAUAUUUAGUACCUACUUUCAUCUAAUAAAGGGUGCAAUAUAUUUGCUGGGUCAACCAGAAGUUGAAUAGGCAAUAUUUCAAAGGGAAACAAUUAGGACAUUACAAUAUUUUUUGCUUUUUGACCAUCUCAUAUACAUGAUGCACAAAAACGAAUAAAUGCUAAGAGAAAGUCUCUAAAUAACAGAAAAAUUUUACCAAAGGCAACACUAAACUGUGCUUUGCUUGUUGUUCUUGUUGAAAGCAUUCCUUAAUGUUGAUCUGUUUAUUCUUUUAGAAUGUUGUCGGGGGAGAAACUCAAGCUGAUAAAUCAUGUUUUUCUUUGAAUUUGUUUUUUUGAGUCCCACAGUUCGGUAUUUACAUAAACGGGUGCCCUGCUGCUGUGAAAUCGCUCAUCUAUGUUUGUCUAGAAACUGUUUGCUAUAAAGCUAAACCCAUAUGUUUUGCAAGGCUUUUUUUCCCUCUUAAAAAUAAAGCUGAAUGUCUCCUUUCCACGAGCAUUGAUGAGUAUUCUAGAACUGUUUUCUAUAAAGUCUCCAUACAAAGGAGGAUUAGGAAAUUCAUAAUAAUAACUAAUCUAACAUGCCUUCACAGUUAGUUUAUUAGCAGGUUCUAAACCCUCAGUAACUUGGCUACAAGAAAAAAAAAUACAUAGCUACUAUAAUCAGAGUUUAGACCAUAAAAUUGCAAGUAGUCUUUUUUUUCCCCAAGUAUCACAAAUGUUUCAAUUUUAUUUUUCCUAGUUUGGGGAAAUAUGAGGCAGGCAGUUUAAAAACUAAAAAUUCCUUUAAAAGCCAUGAUCAUAAGGUUGUGAGGUUGAACCCAAACUCCUGAAUUUAUUUGUGAUAAGUCAUAGUAUGUAGUCUUUUUAAUCUUGCCAAAAGAAAGAAAAAAAAAAUACUGCCUGCAAAAGUAUUUGCAGGAGCUUUUUCAGGACAUUGCUAAGAACUCCUAAAUGUAAUCCCAAGACAACCUUCCAAUAAUAAGAAACAAGUUUAGAUUUCAUCAGUGGGGAAAAUUUAGAGAUCAAAUACUGUUAUACUUUCUAGGCCCUUACUACUAAUACUAGCUAUGGGUGGGAGGCAGAAAGGCUAAUGGUUUUAAGACUUUAGUUCUCUUUUCUACCUCCUCAACUCAUUAAGUAUUCGAUUUAAAAACAAGCUGUUCCAUAACUGGAAGCCUGUAUCUCCCUUUCCUUUCACCCAUUUUGUCCAUCCUCCCUGUCCCCCAUAACCAUCAGUUUGUUCUCUGUAUUUAUAGGUCUGAUAAGUCAUGAGAAUAAAAGGUACAACAUGGGGAAUAUAGUCAAUGGCAUUGUAAUAGCCUUGUAUGGGGAUAGAUGGUAGCCACACUUGGGAGCAUCGCAUAAUGCAAAAUCCUGUGAAAUUACUAUGUCGUAUACCUGAAACUAAUGUAACAUUGUGUGUCAGUGAUACUCAAAUAAAAAAAAAAGUAAAUAAAAACAAGCAGUGUUUUCACUCUUUAUUUCCCAUCCCAAGUUGGGAUGAUGGAAAGAGUUCUCUAUUUUGUCAUGCUAUGCUCCCUGCCUUUUCACUCCUUUUCUUUUCAAAAGAGAUAAACAUGUUCUUGUCAUUCACAGCUGUUCUUCCAGAUGUUCCUGAAUCAGGACCAAAAUCAGCUCAUCUGUGCUUUUUAAAUGUGGUCUUCUUGGGAAAUCUCUGUCUUCUCUAGUAGGAUAAAAGAACGUCAUCUACCACUGCCAGCCUCCAUCAAUGAGCUCUACCAUUAUCUUGUUUGAUGCUUCAAAAGUACAGCAAACGUUGAAACCAGAUAAAUGGUCAUGUUAGAAAGGUGUAGAUACUUCUCAGCGCUGAAGAUGCAGCACUAAACAAAGCAGACAGGAUCCCUGGCUUUAGGACUCACCUCCUUAGAAGCUGGAGAUAAACAAUAAGC